UUUUCCUCCUUCUAUGCAGUUUCUAAAUAAAAAUAAAAUAUUCCUUCUUCUAUGGUCAGCUGUGGUCCGCUUACCGAGAGUGUAUUAAAGACUUACAUGUCGUAAUAGGUGUGAGAUCAAGGAAUUACAUUUGACUUAAUUUGGAGGUUGUCACAAAUUUGUUUAUAAAUAAUGUUGUAACCCCACCCCCUAGCAAGAAUGAGAUGAGGUUGAGAGAGUCCUGGUACUGAAUCCAUGUUUAUUUCCUAUAUGUUGGAAAUAAACACUUCAUUGUCCCAUUCCAGUUCAAUAAUAAAAAAGAACUUCAUUAUCCAUUUUUUUAUCCCCCAGUAUCCUAUAGGUUUGUUUCUUCACAUUUAUGAUAUGCUUCAUUGACAAUUUUAACUGUGCUACCACACAUAUAUCAUUGUGAGCCUCUAAGUUUUAGAUGGAAAGUGUUAUUGAAAUCAUCUUUUGGCCAGAUUGUGGGAAGUUUGCCAAUAGUCUUCAAUGCAAAAAUCCCAGUGUAUUUCACCAGCAGCCUGUCAUAUAUGCUUAGCUGUACCGGGAAGUUUUCAAGUACUAUUUAGCGGUGUAGCCUGUAACGGAUCUGGAAUAGAAGGAAACACGUGCUUCUGCAUUCCCCGACUGUCUAGAGGUGUUGAUGAAAAGGAAAAUGGAUACUUUAAUAUGACUGACUGCCCAACACUAGUAGUAUACAAUAUUAAGAUGAGGACUAUGAAAUUGAUCCUUGAAGUAUAAGAAGCAUGAUGUGCAUUGUGAGAAGCUUGUUUAAUAUUAGGGGGAGGGUUGAAUCGUUGUGUGACUAGCAAUAACGUUCAAGUUUGAGUUGUGGACCUGCAUUUUGGGAAUAUCUAUAUCAUAGUAAGAGGUCAUAAUGGGCAUGUUAUUCCUCUUGUAAAUGUGUUUGGAAAUGGUGGAUUGCAUGGCCAAGGACAUGUUAGACCUAUAAGGAAAUUCUUUUCUUUUCAUACUUCUUCUAAAUAUAUCUUGGAAAUGACGGAGGAUAUGUUCAAAGACAAGUUGAACCUAUAAGGAGUAACUUUCUUUUUUAAUUACGACCAACAAACUAGGACUGUCCUAACAUAUAUGUGAUUUUUUUUACUGUUGUCUUCCUAAAUUCUCUCCUUAAAUUAGGUUAGAACUCCACCUCCUUCCUCCUUCUGGUUGUCAUUUUGGGGACUUCUUUUCAUAAAAACAAUAUUGCUCCUAGUUUCUGUCUGCUAUCACACCAAAUCACUUAAAUGGCAGGGUUUUUUAUUUGUUAUAGAGAAGAUUGUAUAUACCUUGCUAUCAAAGUUUGGCAUCAUCACCUGAAAAAAAGGUGCCUUAAAGUGCCAGUAUUAAUACCCCUCUAAUUGUACCUUUGCGUCGUAUAUUUUCUGCUCCAUGCUUCCCAUCUCUACUGUUCCCCGUGUUUUAACCAUUCAUCCGCAAAUUAGGUAUCUUAGG
This 1452-nucleotide long non-coding RNA is filed under the name Solanum tuberosum (potato). RNAcentral's name for it is "long non-coding RNA (STUB_LNC007781)". The record is from RNAcentral. Lineage: Eukaryota; Viridiplantae; Streptophyta; Magnoliopsida; Solanales; Solanaceae.